UAAACCUGGUUGAUCCUGCCAGUAGUCAUAUGCUUGUCUCAAAGAUUAAGCCAUGCAUGUCUAAGUAUAAGCAACUUGUACUGUGAAACUGCGAAUGGCUCAUUAAAUCAGUUAUCGUUUAUUUGAUAGUACCUUACUACAUGGAUACCUGUGGUAAUUCUAGAGCUAAUACAUGCUAAAAACCCCGACUUCAG
RNAcentral lists this ribosomal RNA (194 nucleotides) under uncultured eukaryote. Its description in RNAcentral is "partial 18S ribosomal RNA". It matches the Rfam family "Eukaryotic small subunit ribosomal RNA", at positions 1 to 192 of the family's 1831-position model. The record is from RNAcentral.